This is a long non-coding RNA of Lutra lutra (Eurasian river otter), 146 nucleotides long. RefSeq lists it as uncharacterized. Lineage: Eukaryota; Metazoa; Chordata; Mammalia; Carnivora; Mustelidae. The record is from RefSeq and is a predicted model, not a curated record. The transcript is spliced from 3 exons.
UCAUAUUUUCUGCGGUAUCAUGUCUGCAAAUAGUGAAAGUUUGACUUCUUCUUUACCAAUAUGGAUGCCUUUUAUUUCUUUUUGUUGUCCGAUUGCCGAGGCUAAGACUUCCAGUACUAUCUUAAACAGUAAUGGUGAAAGUGAAC